UACGGAGGGUGCAAGCAUUGAUCGGAAUUACUGGGCGUAAAGGGCGCGUAGGCGGUAGGAUAAGUCGGAUGUGAAAUUCCGGGGGCUCAACCCCGGAGCUGCAUUUGAAACUAUUCUGCUAGAGUUCAGUUAGGGUAAACGGAAUUCCACGUGUAGCGGUGAAAUGCGUAGAUAUGUGGAAGAACACCGGUGGUGAAGACGGUUUACUGGGCUGAAACUGACGCUGAGGCGCGAAAGCAUGGGGAGCAAACAGGAUUAGAUA
Molecule: ribosomal RNA, 262 nt
Filed under: uncultured bacterium
Lineage: Bacteria
Description: partial 16S ribosomal RNA
Rfam family: Bacterial small subunit ribosomal RNA
Source: RNAcentral